CCUACGGGAGACAGCAGUGAGGAAUAUUGGUCAAUGGGCGCGAGCCUGAACCAGCCAAGUAGCGUGAAGGAUGACUGCCCUACGGGUUGUAAACUUCUUUUAUAAAGGAAUAAAACGCGGCACGUGUGCCUUUUUGCAUGUACUUCAUGAAUAAGGAUCGACUAACUCCGUGCCAGCAGCCGCGGUAAUACGGAGCAUCCGAGCGUUAUCCGGCUUUAUUGUGUUUAAAGGGAGCGUAGAUGGGUUGUUAAGUCAGUUGUGAAAGUUUGCGGCUCAACCGUAAAAUUGCAAUUGAUACUGGCAGUCUGGAGUACAGUUGAGGUAGGCGGAAUUCGUGGUGUAGCGGUGAAAUGCUUAGAUAUCACGAAGAACCCCGAUUGCGAAGGCAGCUUACUAAACUGUGACUGACAUUGCUGCUCGAAAGUGUGGGUAUCAAACAGGAUUAGAUACCCCUGUAGUC
RNAcentral lists this ribosomal RNA (460 nucleotides) under uncultured bacterium. RNAcentral's name for it is "partial 16S ribosomal RNA". It matches the Rfam family "Bacterial small subunit ribosomal RNA", at positions 338 to 795 of the family's 1533-position model. The record is from RNAcentral.